CGUGUGCUGCAGUGUCAGCAAUGCCCUACGUACGUAGAGCCCCUCCCUGACAGCGGCUCCAUUUUGUUUGAUUGUGUAGUCUGCGGUCUCUGUCGACCUCCAGCAAAAAUACGAGCAGGACCAGCCUGAAAGAGCCACCGCCGACGGCCUCGAGAUGAGCGGAUGUCGCAUUUUCAUCGGCCGACUCAGCCCCUCGGCUCGGGAGAAGGACGUGGAGCGGUUCUUCAAGGGCUACGGCCGCAUCCGAGACAUCGACCUGAAGAGAGGCUUCGGGUUUGUGGAGUUUGACGACCCCAGAGAUGCUGAGGAUGCAGUGUAUGAGCUCGAUGGCAAAGAGCUGUGUAAUGAAAGGGUGACCAUUGAGCACGCCCGCGUUCGCCUGCGUGGCGGCCGUGGUCGGGGGGGCAGCGGCGGAGGGGGACGUUUCUCCGACCGCUACGGCCGCGGUUCCCAGAACAGUCGGAGCCGAAAUCCGCCUCCGAUGCGCACUGAAAAUCGCCUGAUUGUGGAGAACUUGUCCUCUCGCGUCAGCUGGCAGGACUUGAAAGAUUUCAUGAGACAAGCUGGAGAAGUGACAUUCGCUGACGCACAUCGACCCAAGCUCAAUGAAGGGGUCGUUGAGUUUGCCUCUUACAGCGAUCUGAAAAAUGCCCUUGAGAAACUGUCUGGAAAGGAAAUCAAUGGCAGAAAAAUCAAGCUUAUUGAAGCAGCAAAGAAGAGGUCGAGGAGUCGAUCCCGGUCCGACUCCUCCUCUCGCUCGCGCUCUCGGUCUCGGUCUCGGUCUCGUGGUCGCUCCGCAUCGCGCUCCCCCCGACGCUCCCGCAGCCCCGGCAAGGGCCGCUCCCGCUCACGCUCACGCUCACGCUCCCGCUCCCGCUCCCGCUCACGCAGCGCCUCCCCCGCCGGCGGCGCCUCGUCGCCGUCGUCCAAGUCCAAGGAGGCCGCCAAGCGCUCCAAGACGAGCAAGUCGGCCAGCCCGCACUCGCCCCCGCCCGCUCAGAGAGCCUCGGCCUCCCGGUCCCGCUCCCGGUCCCGGUCCAGAUCGCGCUCCCGCUCGCCUUCCACCGACAGUCAGCGCUAACCGCGUUCAAGUAUUAGGGAAAUCGGCUGUAGAAAGCAGUAGAAUCAGCUCGGAGUAGUCAGCAGACUGGAGCUCUCAUGAACACUAGUGAGACACAGAUGAGACAAGUUUUUGUAAGUUUAUUUAUUUUUUUAUGUUUGGGUUUUUCCCGUUUUUGGCUUUUUUUCCAUCGCUGUCUUCAGGUUGUUAGAGACGGACGUGACUCCACGUUUGAACAUGUUCAUCCAUGGAGGGUGCAGCUCCUUGGCUGUGCCAGCGUCUCGGGUCACGGCCGCCGGGCCCAUGACCGCAGCAGAAGCUCAGACGGAGCCCGUCUUCCUCGCCGGUGCUGGGACGCUG
Betta splendens (Siamese fighting fish) is the source of this 1420-nucleotide RNA transcript. It is a transcript of the gene named serine and arginine rich splicing factor 5b, with no coding region annotated. NCBI's taxonomy places the organism in Eukaryota, Metazoa, Chordata, Actinopteri, Anabantiformes, Osphronemidae. The transcript is spliced from 9 exons. The record is from RefSeq and is a predicted model, not a curated record.